AUGAGCCUUCUGGAAGAAUUUUUCGUUUUUUCUGCUUUAAAAUUCACGUUUUUUUUUUUUGGUUUCGAGACCGGCGCCUAAUGACGGCGCUUAUUAUUUUCGAUCGCCACGCGAAUUUUUUACCACCGUUAUCGCGUUCCCGCCAAAACGUCGUUAUCAGCGCGUCCGACGCCAUGGUUUUAUUUUUUGCGCCAUCGUCGUCCGUUACUUCGUCGUUUAUUUUCAUGAUAAUUCGAGUUUCGUCCGUCGCCCUGUCCUUCGCAUAUAUGAUUUUGUAAUUUUUAAAUGGCAUUUGUUGUGUCCUGGCGAUCAAGAACUGAUUUAUGUCGCGGGUAACACAUAUUUAUUUAUUAUGAAACGUGUGUUUUGAUUUUGUGAUACUCCAUUUUCUUAAUUUAUGAUGUUUGCCAGAACUUAAUGUUUGUGAUUCCGCUUAAAUAUUUUUUCGACGAUCGUUGUACGACAGUAAGGACUGUAUUGAUUAAUGCCAUUUGUAAAUUAUGUAGUUCUAUUGCAAUUAUUAGGCGAAACGUGUAAUCGAUGGCGUUUGUUGUGUUCCGAGGACUGCGGUCGAAUAGUGGCUCAACCCGUUCGAUCAACUCUGAUCGACAACGGAUUUAUUACACGGACGACUGAUUGAAAAGCUGCUUGACCCGUUGACCAAGAGUGCUGCUUGCUAUAAUGUAUGAGGAUUUAUUACACGGUCUGUGCGGCUUUUGUUUUGUCCGGAUGACUGGUCGAAUAGUGUCUUGACCCAUUGGCCAAGAGUGCUGGCUAUUAUUCAUAAUAGUUGUAUUACACAGAUUUCAGACUGUGUGUUUGUUGUGUCCACAUGACUGUUUAAAUAAUGUCUCAACCUGUAGAGUCUACAAUGUUUUUUAAAAGUAUUGGUCUACAGUGUAGACAUACUACUUAUUAAAAAAGUAGUAUCUAUACUUACAACCUUUAUUGUGGGCGAAUAGCUAUAAAAAAAGUUGAAUAAACAUAUAAAUAUAUUUUGGGAAAAAUGACGUGGAAUACUAAAUUGUGCACAGCCUCUGGUAAAGCUACAAAAAUUUUCCAUUCUGUUUUACCCGCGAUGUGUUGAUAGUGCUGUGCUAUUGGUUUUUUUUUUAGUCAGUGCUUGCCUUCCUUUGCUGUUUGCCGUUCCUCCAUUAUGGUACUCCUGUCAAACCUCGAUUCUAUAAUAGUAAAUUAUUUUUGAUAACUCUAAG
This is a long non-coding RNA of Daktulosphaira vitifoliae (grape phylloxera), 1214 nucleotides long. RefSeq lists it as uncharacterized. Lineage: Eukaryota; Metazoa; Arthropoda; Insecta; Hemiptera; Phylloxeridae. The record is from RefSeq and is a predicted model, not a curated record. The transcript is spliced from 7 exons.